CCUACGGGGUGCAGCAGUGGGGAAUAUUGCGCAAUGGGCGAAAGCCUGACGCAGCGACGCCGCGUGAGGGAUGAAGGUCUUCGGAUUGUAAACCUCUGUCAGCAGGGAAGAACGGUCACUGUGCUAAUCAGCAGUGAAUUGACGGUACCUGCAAAGGAAGCACCGGCUAACUCCGUGCCAGCAGCCGCGGUAAUACGGAGGGUGCGAGCGUUAAUCGGAAUUACUGGGCGUAAAGCGCUCGUAGGCGGUAUGUCAAGUCAAGGGUGAAAUCCCCGCGCUCAACGUGGGAAAAGCCUUAGAAACUGGCAAGCUGGAGUGUGUGAGAGGAUAGUGGAAUUCCAGGUGUAGGAGUGAAAUCCGUAGAUAUCUGGAGGAACAUCAGUGGCGAAGGCGACGAUCUGGCACGUAACUGACGCUGAGGAGCGAAAGCGUGGGUAGCAAACAGGAUUAGAUACCCGGGUAGUC
RNAcentral lists this ribosomal RNA (465 nucleotides) under uncultured bacterium. RNAcentral describes it as "partial 16S ribosomal RNA". It matches the Rfam family "Bacterial small subunit ribosomal RNA", at positions 338 to 795 of the family's 1533-position model. The record is from RNAcentral.